GUUGUUGAAUUCUCUGAUGUGUUGAUGUUAACUUUCGUGAUAUUGAUGAUCGUACUGCUCUUCAUAUUGCUGCUUGGCAAGGCUUCACUCAAGCUGUUUCCGAACUAAAGCAGGCCAAAUUGAUCUCAAAUAUCGCUGGGGCAGCACUCUUCUUGCAGAUGCUAUAUAUAUUACAAAACCACGACGUGAUUAAACUUUUGGAAAAACGUGGUGCUGGUGCAAAGCCUCUGAUGGCUCCUAUGCACGUGAGGUCCUGGAAUACGAAAUCAAUCCCGAUGAACUUGAUUUUACUAACAGUGUAGAAUUAGCUAAGGGAACCUUUUGUAGCAUCAUGGCGAGGAAUUUAAGUUGCUGUUAAAAAGCUUGGUGAGGAAGUGCUUCGAGACAACGAUAAAUGACCAUUCAGAGAUGAACUUGCAUUGCUUCAGAAAUACAGCAUCAAAAUGCGAUCCAGUUUCUGGGUGCUGUUACUCAAAGUUGCCCAAUGAUGAAUGUGACGGGAAAUCUUGGUGCAUUCUUGAAAAGCAAAGGAGCAUUAAAACGAAUAGCAGCUGUGAGACUUGCACUUGAUAUUGCGAGGUUCUUUAUUAUUAUUAUUUUUAACUUUGCCAUUAAUGCAAACCCCUCCCCAUAAAACGCCUGUUUAUAUUUUCAUGGAGUUUAUUAUUAUUCUGAAUAUCCAAUUUGUUGCAAAUGGUGAUAAUUGUUCGAUUGGAUGCUUAUACAUUAGUUACUGACCAAGAACUUUAAUUAACAUUUUGUAGUUAUAUCACUUUGUUUGCUUGAAGAAAAUAUUGAACUGAGCUUGAAAGUUGUGGAGCUCUGUGUUAACAGAUUGACAAUGAAUGCCUAGUUUGCCCCCCAAAAGAAACGGUUGAUUGAGGAGUGCUGGCAUGAGAAUAAAGCUAAGCGACUGACUUUCAGGCAAAUACUAACAAGACUGGACACUGUUCAUAACAGCAUGGCUCACAAGAGGGCGGAAAGGUUUCUCCCCUCUCUGAAUAUGUGUGUGUGGUGAUGGUGUACUGCACUUGAAUGAGUAACGAAAAUUUUGACAUUAAACUUUAUCUGACUACCUCUAAAGCCUGCUCCUUUAAAGAACCAACCUUUUCUGUGUUGAAUGGCUUCAAUGCUUUAUUUUGUCCCUAGUGGAGUUAAUACAUUCCAAUUCUUUUCCUUUUCUUUUUCUGGGUUGUGUGAGUAGAAGUUGUGAUGAUAAAGCUUGGAAAUUGAUAAUUUACCCAAAUUAUAUGAAUUGAACCUUCUCUUGAGAGCUACAUUUUUCAA
Molecule: long non-coding RNA, 1287 nt
Organism: Populus nigra (black poplar)
Lineage: Eukaryota; Viridiplantae; Streptophyta; Magnoliopsida; Malpighiales; Salicaceae
Exons: 7
Source: RefSeq, a predicted model, not a curated record